This 484-nucleotide ribosomal RNA is filed under the name uncultured bacterium. RNAcentral's name for it is "partial 16S ribosomal RNA". It matches the Rfam family "Bacterial small subunit ribosomal RNA", at positions 30 to 507 of the family's 1533-position model. The record is from RNAcentral.
AUUGAACGCUGGCGGCAGGCCUAACACAUGCAAGUCGAGCGGAUGAAGGGAGCUUGCUCCUGGAUUCAGCGGCGGACGGGUGAGUAAUGCCUAGGAAUCUGCCUGGUAGUGGGGGAUAACGUCCGGAAACGGGCGCUAAUACCGCAUACGUCCUGAGGGAGAAAGUGGGGGAUCUUCGGACCUCACGCUAUCAGAUGAGCCUAGGUCGGAUUAGCUAGUUGGUGGGGUAAAGGCCUACCAAGGCGACGAUCCGUAACUGGUCUGAGAGGAUGAUCAGUCACACUGGAACUGAGACACGGUCCAAACGCCUACGGGAGGCAGCAGUGGGGAAUAUUGGACGAUGGGCGAAAGCCUGAUCGAGCCAUGCCGCGUGUGUGAAGUAGGACUUCGGAUUGUAAAGCACUUUAAGUUGGGAGGAAGGUCAGUAAGUUAAUACCUUGCUGUUUUGACGUUACCAACAGAAUAAGCACCGGCUAACUUCGUG